Molecule: transfer RNA, 73 nt
Filed under: Cricetulus griseus (Chinese hamster)
Lineage: Eukaryota; Metazoa; Chordata; Mammalia; Rodentia; Cricetidae
Rfam family: tRNA
About the family: Transfer RNA (tRNA) molecules are approximately 80 nucleotides in length. Their secondary structure includes four short double-helical elements and three loops (D, anti-codon, and T loops).
Source: Rfam by way of RNAcentral
GCCCAGCUAGCUCAGUUGGUAGAGCGCAAGACUCUUAAUCUCAGGGUCAUGGGUUCAGGCCUCACAUUGGGCA